UUUGCAAGUAAACCCUCACUUCUCUUCUCCGAUGUUGAGCUCCUCCGCACUGCGAAAACCCUCUCUUUUAUCUUUCCCCUUCGCGAGACGAGACUCCUCCUCCUCCCUUCUCCCUUCUUCUUCUCCUCCUCCUCCUCCUUCUUUCUCUUCGUGCAAGCGCCAAUCAUGGUCUCCAUUCCUCUCGUCUCCUCUCAAACCUUCGGUCCCCAAGAAGAUCUAUUCCACCAUCUCCGUCCAUGGCUUUUCCUGGGAUGACCUCUUCCGCUGGAUGUCCAACACUUCCGACCUUGAUCUCCUCUGCUAUCUUCAGCACGCGAACUCUUAGUCACCCAAGAACUUCAGAGAUGAAGAACUACAUGCCUCCAAAGGUCUCAACCCCGCCAGAAUGCUGGGACAAACGAUAUGGCCAAGCUUAGGCAUUGGCUGCUUCUUUGGCAUCCUUAAUGCUGAGAUGGAUCAUCGUACAGAAAGGCACAUGGUUUGCCGAGUAAUAGCUCUUUGAAAUGUGUCCUCUCUCCAUAGAAAAAAAAACUGAGAGCAGAUUUUGCAUAUGAUUUGCUAUUUACUGAAAAUGAUUUGAGUUGCUGUGUUGAUAUCACAAAGCUCAAAAGAUGGCAAGUUUGUCACUAUUAACUCUAAUUCGAGGGCCUCAUCGGAGGAAGGUUUAUGUAAUGGAUGCAGCAAACUAUAAAAAUGGCUUAAUGCCAGUUCGAAAAUAUGUGCCUGGUGUGCAAUAUUUUCUAUUGCAACACUUUGGCUUUUUCUAUAUUCUUUCAAAUGCUCCCUCAGAAAACAUCACCUUAGUUGCUGAAGGCUACCAUUUAGUUAAAUGUAGAGCUGAAAGGUCAUCAUUGGCCACUUGGCAGGAUAUUGUCCUACGUGGUCCAGAUGUCACCUUUCAGGUUUUUUGGUGCUUUUUCUUCAAAAAAAAAGGCCUUCCAAUGCGUUGUGCUAUAAAUAUGCCUGUUAGUGUUGAUAAUGAGGUACAUUUUAUUACUUUCUUACUCUUUUGUUUGAGAUAUAUUAAUGUAAGCCCUAAGGUUUAGUUUCCAAAAUAUGUUCCCCUUCUUUUGGUCUUACAAUUGGGUCUUGAUUGCCUACAUUUUCUUCUGCAAGUUAUCUAUUAUUCGGCUAGUAUAUUAGUAUAUCUUAAGUCAUUCCAUAAGUUAAAGGUAAAUUGCAUGUCCUUUAUCCAGAUAUUCUGGAAUAACAUUUAUUGGAAUAGUUAAAUUUCAAUAUAAGAUUUGAUGCUAUUUCCCAUCCUUUAGGCAGGAAUUCGGGUAAUAAUUGCACACUUGAACUUUCUUGCUAUUGCAUAAUAUUACUAAUUUUAUUUCCUGUUAUUAUUUAAAUUACUUUUGAUUUGGGAAUCUUGUCCUUAACCUCUGAGUGAUGUAUAGUCAUAAAACUAAUAUGAAUGGAUUCUCAAAUGCUUUCAAAGCAUAUAGAUUAGCAGUUAUCUUAUUUGGUUUCAUUUUUUUGUUUUCCAUCAAACUCUCAAAUUCUGAAUGGAUGUUUUGAUCAUGUCCAUAAUUUCAUGAUAAUUUAAGUGCGUAAACUUCACAGUUUAUACUUUCCCCGAAAUUUAGUCUUCUCAGAUUAGUUAUCUAUAUUCUGUGCAAAGUAUGCCAGUAAAACUACCAGAUGCAGCAGAAUUUUUUUAGUUGUAGCUGCAAGUGCCACCCAUGUUUAAUUCAGUUAGCUUCCCAUUGUGAUUAAGAGAGGAAUAAUCUGGAAGCAAUUACCAAUUGGAGCAGAAUUGGGUUGGCUUACUUUCAUUUAGACUGACUUGACCUCUAUUGAUUUUGUUUUCAUCAAGUUAUAUUUUUGGUCUAUGAUGUUGUAUUUGAUUGAAAUUGUCAUUUGCUGAAAAAAUGGUUGCCAAAAGCACAAUGAUUUCAUAUAUAACAAACUGCUCAUAAUGGUUUUAUCAUUGAUCAGUUUUUCAUUUUUAAGUUCUCAGUUCGUUUUUAUAGUUUUGUGAAUUGUUAACGUUAGUGGUGGAAGCGUGAUGUCGGUUGCAUAUGCCAUAUAUUGUCUUCUAAAUCAGGUGUCACAACAUCUUGGGGCUCUAGUACAAUUUCUCAGUGUAACUGCGUGACUUUUUACUUAAUUAGUCCUACAGCAAGCAAAGGAUAUUCAGGGUUUCAAUCCAUGGUUUUCCACUAUGCCAUCUGGCUUUUGCAGCUUCGUGCCAUGCUCAAAUCAUGAUUUUGCUUUGUCUGUUUACCGGCUUGUAGUUUCAUCACCAAGUGGUAUGAUGCCUUCAUUUGAAAAAAGUUAGUUAUUCUGAUUUUCUGUUUACUGGCUUGUUGUUUUAUUAUUUUUAUUUCUAUUUGAAAUUUCAUCAACAAUCCAAUAUCCAAGUCAAGUUAGUUGUUAUCUCAGUGUGCAUACCACUUUGAUUUCACAACCAUGAAGAAUGCUACCGUUAGAUUGUUCAAGGUCUGAAAAAACAGAGUUAGUACUUGAAUGCACUGACAUGUGUAUGUAAUUGAGUUUGUGGGCUCUUGGCCAUGACAAACCACUUAUAUUUGACUUGGAUAUUGGAUUCAAGGAUUUAUCACUAUCGUUGUUAAUGAUUGGGUUCAUAUAGUUAUUGAAACUUCUAAUUUUUAUGCACACACUAAACUCUUAAUUAAGGAGC
Molecule: RNA transcript, 2647 nt
Organism: Dioscorea cayenensis subsp. rotundata (Guinea yam)
Lineage: Eukaryota; Viridiplantae; Streptophyta; Magnoliopsida; Dioscoreales; Dioscoreaceae
Exons: 5
Source: RefSeq, a predicted model, not a curated record